Molecule: ribosomal RNA, 393 nt
Filed under: uncultured bacterium
Lineage: Bacteria
Description: bacterial SSU rRNA
Rfam family: Bacterial small subunit ribosomal RNA
Source: RNAcentral
AUUGAACGCUGGCGGCAUGCUUUACACAUGCAAGUCGAACGGCAGCACGGGUGCUUGCACCUGGUGGCGAGUGGCGAACGGGUGAGUAAUGCAUCGGAACGUGCCCAUGAGUGGGGGAUAGCCCGGCGAAAGCCGGAUUAAUACCGCAUACGCCCUUAGGGGGAAAGCGGGGGAUCUUCGGACCUCGCGCUAUUGGAGCGGCCGAUGUCGGAUUAGCUAGUAGGUGAGGUAAAGGCUCACCUAGGCGACGAUCCGUAGCUGGUCUGAGAGGAUGAUCAGCCACACUGGGACUGAGACACGGCCCAGACCCCUACGGGAGGCAGCAGUGGGGAAUUUUGGGACAAUGGGCGCAAGCCUGAUCCAGCCAUGCCGCGUGAGUGAAGAAGGCCUCGG